UUUUGAUACUUUAGUCACGUGAUCGUAAACGACUGUGAUUGGCCGAAUGGUUGAUGACUUAUGACAACACAAU
Long non-coding RNA from Maniola jurtina (meadow brown), 73 nucleotides. RefSeq lists it as uncharacterized. The record is from RefSeq and is a predicted model, not a curated record. The transcript is spliced from 3 exons. Lineage: Eukaryota; Metazoa; Arthropoda; Insecta; Lepidoptera; Nymphalidae.